ACUUUUGUUUCAAUGAACCAUAUUUUGUUAGAGGACUUUGCUUCUCAUGGUGUUGUUUUUAUUCAGUUGGGGUUUGGUGGUUUUACUGUAGCAACUUGUUUUAUGGUUUGAGUUCUGCCUUUGAUUACAUAAUCUCUGAACUAUUUUAUCAUUGCUCACUUCCCGUUUAUCUGUCAUUUUAAAAUGAAGAAUAAGAGAGUAUAGUGAUGAGAGACGCAGGCAGUGAAAAUGGAGAGUAAUAUAAUUUACAAUUGUUACAUAAAGUGACAACCCAUGUCCCCAGAAGGGAAGACCUUUCUUUUUUUCAGAGUGGCCCUCCGAGGCUAGACUAUGGAGAAGUCCCAAUCUUGCAGCUAAUAAGUUAGAAAGACUGUUCUAGGGUUGAUAGGUGCAGCAAACCACCAUAGCCCAUGUAUACCUAUGUAACAAACCUGCACAUUCAGCACAUUUAUCCCAGAACUUAAAGUAAAAAACAAAACAAAACAAAACAAAAACAGAAAAAAAAUGAAAAAAAAAAUAAAAAAAAGACCAUUCUAAAUCCCAAAGUAUCUUUCUGAUAAAUCAGGGGGCCCAGAAGCUAGGUUCCCCUGGCAGAGGGCAGUAAACUCUUCCUAAAUAUAGUUCAAGAAAAUUUCUGGAUAAUUAUGUUUUCUAACUUCUAGAACAAUUCAGAGACUCUGUCACAGGAGCUUUGUUGAGUAUCACUAGUGCACAGUCCAAGCCAAAAGCAAAGCUCCCAACUAGAACACAGAAACUUGGAUGCCAAAAAUAAGUGAUGUUUAUGGCAGAGUCAUUCAUGGAUUUGAGGGAGCGGGAAUAGGCGAGAAAGAGG
Molecule: long non-coding RNA, 832 nt
Filed under: Homo sapiens (human)
Lineage: Eukaryota; Metazoa; Chordata; Mammalia; Primates; Hominidae
Description: HSALNT0087011
Source: RNAcentral